This 322-nucleotide ribosomal RNA is filed under the name uncultured eukaryote. RNAcentral's name for it is "partial 18S ribosomal RNA". It matches the Rfam family "Eukaryotic small subunit ribosomal RNA", at positions 1470 to 1796 of the family's 1831-position model. The record is from RNAcentral.
CCCUUAGAUGUUCUGGGCCGCACGCGCGCUACACUGAUGAAUUCAACGAGUUUACAACCUUGGCCGGAAGGCCUGGGUAAUCUUCUAAACGUUCAUCGUGAUGGGGAUAGAUUAUUGCAAUUUUUAAUCUUCAACGAGGAAUUCCUAGUAAACGCAAGUCAUCAGCUUGCAUUGAUUACGUCCCUGCCCUUUGUACACACCGCCCGUCGCACCUACCGAUUGAAUGGUCCGGUGAAAUCUCGGGACGGCGGCUUGGUCGCUUGCGUCCGACUGCUGAAACUUGAUUAAACCAUAUCAUUUAGAGGAAGGUGAAGUCGUAACA